CUUUCCGCAGGUCGAAUUAGAUUUAGGAACAAGUUGUGGAUAAAAUGACAGAAGGGUAAUGAUGAGUGAGCUUUCUUUGGGCCAAGUGGGUCUGUGAUAGGAGCUGGUGUGGUGGUCACUUGCAAAAGAACUCUCCUUAAGAAGGUCUUCUCCCAGAGGCGAGGAGCCCUCUGCAGAGGGGGUUAGGGCUGUGCAGUUAAGAUGCAGAAGUUGAGGGGGUGUUGUUAGGGGCUUGCUGGAGGAGAGGCAUUGAAUGAGGAACCUCUGAAAAUGCUCCACAGAAAGAAUCAGCCCUGCGAACUUGCCACACCUGGAAGGCGCCACUGUUCUCCGGGUUUCCCAGGCGGGAGUCAGAGGACAAUUCGCAGCUACUCCUGAACUGCAAGCUCUCUGAGGGAUCCUGCGCAGAUCCCCUUCCCUAAGCUUGAAGCUAGAGGCAGGCCUCAGACACCCACCCACUGCCUUCGGUGGAGGCUCAUCAGGGCUCUCUACGCUUAGCCUUUCACGUCUUCGUUAUAGGCAGGAUGAUGGAUUCAAGGAGUUUUAAGCCAUAUCCUCCUUUGCAAAUGCACCAGGAUGGUCUGGUUCGCUACUCAUUUUGAAAUAUUGAUUCAUGCCUCCCGAAGAGGAAGAGUUCUGGUUUGAUGCUGCAGCAUUGUGCAAAUCAACUUGCAGGAGCAAGCAAACCUUUCAUGGAAGAGAAGAGCUUGCUCAACUCUCGCAGAAACUGAGGCUACCGCUAGAUUCAGACUUGUCCAAAUCCUGGUUCCACCCACGGGCAGAGCUCAGUUCUAAGCAGUUCUUUCUCAGUGUGCUUCCUGUGGGUGCCAUUAUAUUGAGAGAGCUGAAUUCAAAGGAGUGCCAGCAGAGGGGAACUGUGUCCUUCCCUAUUGACUAUCUCAGGCAGAUCCUGUAACUUCUUUAGUCAUCUCAGAUAAUAAAAAGUCCUCAAGUCGUUUUCAGACCCAAGGGUAAUCUUUGAGUAAUUAAAAUUCUAGUUGAGUGUCAUCAUGAUGUAACAGCUUUCCCUUAUCCAUUUGAAAGCUCGUUUGCACCUUCGUUUCAAGCCUGAUUAAAAAAAUAUCAAACCACACAGAAGAGUUUAUUAAAAAAGCAAUAGUCACCUGCCCCACCCCUCUCCCCAUCCUCAGGCUCACCGCCCAAGAAGGAGCCGUUGAUAAACUCUUGUUCGUUUUUGUGUUUGAGUGGUAAAUUUUAGUUGUAGGCAAAUUUACUUCAACCUCAGCUUCUCAGUUAGUACUCAGGUUCUCCCACCUGGCAGUGUUAAUGUUUUGGAGAAAUGAGGGGAGACCCCUUACAGACAAGCUGCGGCACUUGAGCCCUCUCACCUGGACCUUGCCCCGCUGAUGGUUUUGAGACAGCAGGUAAACUGAAGGCCUGUAUGAAGCACCAGAAGUCCAGGCUUGCUGCUGUGGUUUUUUUUAAGGCCAUUUGUUUAAAAGCUUUUUAAAAAUAGGAGUGAUGGUUUGUCAGAAGUCAUGCUUUGGUAAAUUUUUGGACCCAAAAGCCUGCUCUUGUAAGCCUGGCUGCGGUAGUAUUUGCAUGCAUUGGGUGUGGCUUUGAUUGCACUGCACUCAUGUGUUUGUUAAGUCUGUCUCUUGGGAGCAGUGCUCCUCCUGUGCCUUACUGUGUACAAAGAAUUGACUCAGUACAGCUGGUGCUGCCUUAAGACCAAGACCCUGACAGCGGACCCUCCUUGCUCUUUUAGCCACGCCUUCUGAGGCAGCUCUUCUAGCCACGCCUUCUGAGGCAGCUCUUCUGCAAGUCCGAUUGUAAGCUCCUUGAGGAUGAGAACUGAGUUUUGACUCCCUGUAUAGCCCCAGUAUCUGGUACAUGUUACAGAGGCCUGUUACGAAGCACACGUUUCCAGCUUGUUCCAGUGUCUGGGUCCAACGAUUUUCCCUUUCCUUCCUCCAAUUAGCCACAAGAUGGCAGCCUAAGCCACGCUGGUACUUAAUUUCCUGUGAGGAAGAAGUGGUGCUUUGGGUUAAAAUGCCCUUCUCUGAGCCAGAAGAGGAUCCCUUUGAAGUGAGAUUAAGUCACACAUUACAGAAGAUUUCUCUGAAAAUGUCCUCUGCAUCUUCUCUUCUUCAUUGACUCUGAGGAACAAUCUGGAAUACUAACAAGCAAGACAAAGGAGAGAUUUUCUUCUCCUUGCCUGAGGGGCCGUUGGGCUAUUUAGAAAACAGUUCUAGGGAGAGCACGGAGCUCUGAGCUCUGGGAAACAAGGACACCGGGGUGCGGUGGGGGUGUGGGGGGGAGUAUUUACUGACCCCCUCGUCACACUGUUUUGUGUAAACUGUGAGUUCUAGAGGUAAGGUCUAGAGCAGGGGGUCAGCAAACUAUGGCCCUAGGGCCAAAUCUGGGGCUCUGCUUGAUUUCGUAAAUAAAUUUACUUGGAACGCAGCCAUGACCAUUUGUUGACAUGUCGUCAGUCUUUUGCACAACUGUGAAUAGUUGUGACAGAGACCAUUUGGUCUGUAAAGCCAAAAGUAUUUACUAUCUGGUCCUUUCAGACAAAAUUUGGGCCAUGUGGUCUAGAGAGAUGUGAACUUUUUAGAAGACUUAGUAUUUGGUUAGCAUAUUUUGGGGAAAUAAUAUCUGGUUACCUUUUUGGGGAAAGACCUGUCUUUCUUUCCAAGAAGCAAACAUUCUGAGUGGAAAUGAUAUGGAUUCCUUGACGUUUCUUAGAGUUGUACCCGUAUGAGGCAGAAUUAUAUUUAUUAAUUCAUUUCAGGAAUUACGCAUUUAAGUAUACUGUAGCUUUUCUUUGUUAAGUAGAAAAUAUGGGUAUACCUGAGGUAAAUUCCUCGUCGUUUCUUAGCAUGCUUUCCCGUAGCAGGGCUGCGAAGUCACUCUUAUACUAAUUCCUUCAUUGGUCAAGAUACCCACCAACGGCCCCAUAGCCACUUACCUUUCAUUCAAGAAAUGUUCUUGAUGUGGAUGGUGUGGCUUAUUUAUGGGUUUGUAAGUGCUCAGACAUUGCUGAGUCAGAAUCACGUUAAUUUGUUUUGCAAGUUUUAAACAAAUACAUUUUCUGCAGAUUCUCUUCCUGACAAAGCAUUUUGGGUCAAGAUAGUAUACAUUCCUUACAGUUUCUUAGUGUUCUUAUGCUUACAAAAAGAGACAAAUCAAACUUAUUAUUUUUGCGCAUACACGGAUCAGAGAUUAACUGGCCCUUGCUGGAUCCGCUUAGUUGAAGCAGAUGAUUGCGGGCGGAAGGUCUGUUUUUGGCAAGACCUGCAGAAAGAAGCUGCCGGAAGGGAAAAUUCUCAGCUUGGGAGUCCUGAUGGGGAACAAAGCAGGUAUAAAGAGAAAAGAGAGUCCACCCGACUCUCAACUGUACCUUUUCUGUGGAAAGUUUUUCAGGCAGGUAGGGGAAAUUCUUCUGUAUGUUCCAAGGUAGUUAUGGAAUAGGGUUUCCCAUCUACCUAAGAAGGGAAUUGGGCAUGGGAGGCUGUCAGAGUCGUAUACUGUAUCCCGUCUUCUUGGAAUCCUCUCCAGAUUAUUGUAGUUAAAUUUAUUUGAAAAAUAGUAUAUGUUAUUUUCAAAACAUCCUUUUUUCCUUGCAUCCUCUAGCCAUUAUUAUUUAUUUACUUAUUUUUUUGAGGCAGAUUACCUCCGAGCUAACAUCUGCUGCCAAUCCUCCUCUUUUUGCUGAGGAAGACUGGCCCUGAGCUAACAUCCCUACCCAUCUUCCUCUACUUUGUAUGUGGGACGCCUGCCACAGCAUGGCUUGCCAAGUGGUGUCAUGUCCAUACCCGGGAUCCGAACCGGCGAACCGCAAGCCGCCAAAGGGGAACGUGUGCACUUAACCGCUGUGCCACGGGGCCAGCCCCUAGCCAUAAUUAUUUAUAUGAUUUAUAUUUAAAGAAUUCAGUGUUUUACUUCAUUUCUUUGCUGUUCUAGAGUUCUUAAUGUAGAUGUGUGCUUCAAUGUGCCAAUUUCUUCAAGCACUUUUAACAAUGAAGGUAUGUGUUCUAUGUUCUAUGUAUAUAUCUGCGCCCUUGCAUGUGUGAGAAUAUAUUUUUGACUCACAACCGUUUUCUUGAAAAAAUACUAUAAUUAAGUGUUGAAGGAUACUUUAAAAAGAUAUGGAAUCAUGACUCUCAUACAAAUAUAAAAUGAACAUGUGUCAAAGAUGGGAGAACCAGUAAGAUGUUACAGUUGACACAAAGGGAAAUUCACAGAACCACACAUUAUGUAGGCAAAUAAGGAAUGUUGGAAUGAAUUUAUAAAUAGGUGUAAAACAUGAGGCAGUAAUCGAUUAUAUUCCGCGGGACACAAUGAAAUUGCGUUUUCAUGGGCAAGAAUAAUUUAUAUGAUUCUCCAUUUUCUGCAACUUACAGAGUUGUAAAAUAGCUCCGUAACAAUGAAAGGUUGCUAUAACCUGGAAGCGCCUGCUAUAUGGCACACUCAGAAAUCUCUUUGGUCCAUUCUGACAUCUUUAACAAUUUUUCCCUAUAAUUAUAACAUUUACUAGUGUUUAGUAUGCCUAGUACAGUUAUAAACACACUAUAUAUCUUAACUCCGUAAACUCGCUAAAUUAUCUUUAUUUUACAGGUGAGAAAGCUGAGGCAUUGAGGUUUUAAAAUGCUCAUGGCAAAAUGGAAGAGUCGGGAUUUGAAAAAAAUAGCACGUAUACUAUCCUAGCUAUAUAAAAUUAUACAUACAUAUAUAUAUAUACGCACACAUAUACAUAUUCACACAUAUUAAAACAAGGGAAUUUGAUCUUUAUCACUAACUAAUGAGAUGUCUGUGCUUUGUGUUAAGACAAAAAGGGAAGGUGUGGAGUAAUGUGCAUAGAAUUAUUUUAUUUCUGUAAAAACAAACUAUCCUGGAUCAAUAGGAGCUCUCAUUUGCUGCUGGUGGAAAAGCAAAAUGGUACAGCCACUUUGGAAGACAGUUUGGCAGUUUCUUACAAAACUAAAUGUACUCUUAUCAUGUAAUCCAGCAAACUUUCUCCUUGGUAUUGACCCAAAUGAAUUGAAAACAUGUCCACACAAAAACCCGCACACAAUGUUUAUGGCAGCUUUAUUCCUACUUGCCAAAACUUGGAAGCAACCAAGAUGCCCUGCAGUAGGUGAACGCAUAAAUAAACUGGUAUGUACGGACAGUGAAUGUUAUUAGCACUGAAAAGAAAUCAGCUACCCAGACAUGAGAAGACAUGGAGGAACCUUAAAUGCAUAUUACUAAGUGAAAGAAGCCAAUCUGAAAGGCUGAAUACUCUAUGAGUCUGACUGUAUGACAUUCUGUAAAAGGCAAAACUAUGGAGACAGCAAAAAUAUCAAUGGUUGCCAGGGGUUGGGUGAGGGAGGGAUAAAGAAAUGGUGCACAGAGGUUUUUAGGGCAGUGAAACUAUUUUGUAUGAUACUACAAUGAUAAAGACAUGUCAUUAUACAUUUGUCAAACCCAUAGAAUGUAUAGUAUACAUUACAUUACUGUACUUUGCAACUAUAAUGUAAACUGUGGACUCUGGGUGAUAACGAUGUGUCAAUGUAGGUUCAUCGAUGGUAAAAAAAAAAGCCCCACCCUGGCGGGGGAUGCUGAUAGUGGGGCAGACUGUAUAUGUGUGAGGAGAAGGGGAUUUAUGAGAACUCUCUAUAAUUUCUACUCAAUUUUGUUAUGAACCUAAAACUGCUAUAAAAAAUAAAAUAUAUUUUAAAAAAAGCCUAAACCAAAC
Molecule: long non-coding RNA, 5704 nt
Organism: Equus caballus (horse)
Lineage: Eukaryota; Metazoa; Chordata; Mammalia; Perissodactyla; Equidae
Source: Ensembl